GCAAAUUCAUCAACAUGUUCGCUGUGCUGGACGAGCUGAAGAACAUGAAGUGCAGUGUGAAGAACGACCACUCAGCGUACAAGAGGGCCGCUCAGUUUUUACGUAAAAUGGCAGAUCCACAGUCCAUCCAGGAAUCGCAGAAUCUGUCCAUGUUCCUGGCCAAUCAUAACAAGAUCACACAGUCUCUGCAGCAGCAGCUCGAAGUGAUUUCUGGCUACGAAGAGCUCCUGGCAGA
RNAcentral lists this unclassified non-coding RNA (235 nucleotides) under Hevea brasiliensis (rubber tree). The record is from RNAcentral. Lineage: Eukaryota; Viridiplantae; Streptophyta; Magnoliopsida; Malpighiales; Euphorbiaceae.